AAAACACUCAUGGCAGGGCUUUAUUUUACCAUUGUAGAACAUAAACUAGGUGCUUCAUCAUAAUCAAACAAAUAUUAUUUGGUAAAGAAUUACAACUCAAUGAAACAUUUCUCAAUAUUCUCUUCUAUUCGUUUUAUGCUGUUCAAAUUUUGUGAAUCCACACCUAGUACCAUACAAAUUAUUUACAAUGGUGCCCAUGUAUGAAAAAUCAAAAUGAAAAUGUCCAAGGAAAUGAAACUCAUUCUUACUAGUCUAUGUUGGCAUAUUAGCAUAAAGAAGAGUGAAGAAGAGUUCAACUUCUGAUACACUAAGGAUGAUUUGGAUAAACCGAUUUUGGUUUAGUUCAUUAAACAAUAACGGACCCAUUUGUGCAACUCGCGGUAAAAGCCUUGCCAGCGGCAUCCCUGAUGCUAGACUGCCACCUCCGGACUCGGCUGCCACAUCAGCCACCAGGGCAUCUACUAUUGCUUUCAAUGAUAUUUCUACAACUUUACCAAAUUCAGCACUGCAAGGAAUGAAAAUGGCCAUUCUCACCAUUUCACUAGCUACCAUAGGAUAAGUAAAAUAAUUUGAAAUCAUGGGAUUAAGAUUUUUGAGGAAUAGUGACAUCAAACUCUUAUGUUGAGAGAGUAAGGAAAGCAAAGGGAGAUUUUUUUUAGGUAACAAUUUUGCAUAGUAGGAAAAGCACAAAUCCAUUCAAAUCAGACACAUGCCCAUUUUCUUGAUUGGAAUUAUAUAACAUACCUUGAUAGCACUGCUCGAGCCUCUGCCAUAAGCUGUUCAAAUUUUGUGGUAUCAGUAAUUAUUGUGUCAUCACUGUUGGAACCUAAGGCUAACUUGUAGACUCUAGCAUCUUCAGGCAUCAAGUAUUCUGCCCAGUGAUGUGGACUUCCUCUGCUCAUGAACAAGUCAAGUAUCUGCAUAACAGUUUCAUGAAGAGUCUUGGUGUUGAAGAAAUCCCUCAAUUCUUUUCUCUUAAGAACCUCUGUUGCUGCUGCUUGGAUAUUAGAAAUCAGUGCUGGCAUGCCAUAAUUAGCAAGAAAAUCAGAACUAGCCAAAAAUUUUUGCUGGUCUUCCCUUUCAAUGAGAUCAGCAUCGUCGAGUAAGUGUGAGCUUCCAAGACCACGUGCUGUGUCAAUAUACAAAUGUCUUCCUAGAAUAUUUACUUGAGUUCUGAUAUACAAGCAAAGCAUUGUCAUUGCACAUAACGAGACCACUGUUCUUGUGAAACUUAAGAUUUUGAGUCUGUCCCAUAGCUCAAGUUUCUCUGAAGAUGUCAAAGUGUUGGGCUGACCCUUCCCUUUCAUUAACCUCUCUGUAAGCUGCAAAAGGUCCAACUCUUCUGCUAUCCGGCUGCUUAAAUAGUGCAUUGCAUGAGGCAAAGUUGUUGCAUCAGCUAUUCUCUGAAUGUUCUCAAAAUGGGCUUGCAUUUGAGCCUUAAUAAGCUCCUCAUGUUCCCGUUCAUCCGCAUGCUGUCUCUCCAAAUCAGCAAGGCUACUCUUGUGUGCAUUAUACAAGUUAUAGAGAAAAUAACCACUUCCAAAAACGCCAGCUGCAACAAGAAUUUUCCUCCUAUGCCUUCUCCAAAACUCCCUUAGAGAAAGCAUCUUUGAAGUCAUAGAAUACCCCAAAAGUCCAUGUCUAAGCGUCUGUGCCAUGCAAAUCCAUUUCAGGAAUAUAGAAGCAGGCAAUAAUUGAAAAUGAUAAACCCUCUCAAGAUAGAAGAAAGAAGAACGCCCUUGAAAGGCUAAUAGAGAAACGAAUAAGACCCUUAUCAGUUAUCACAGAUAGGCCUAGGAAAACCCACCGGCAGGCAAUGAGAAGGUAAGCUUCAGCUACCAAAUAAGAGAUAUCGUUAUGUGUAACAUUGAGGGCUUAUAGAGAGGGAGACAGAGAAAGAGGGUAUUGAUGAGAAAUGGGAAUUACAGCAACUUCGAGGGUUUAGAUAAAAUUAAAGAGGCGAAGAUAGCUAGAAUUCCCAUGCAGUGAUGUACUUUUCACGGCUUUCUCCUUUAACCCUUUACCCCUUUACUCUGUCUAUGCUACUUCUACCAGUGAUGUGUUUCGCUAUUUCCAGGAUCCUUUUUCCUAUUACCACUCCAAUUCCACCACCUUCUCGGCUUCUUCACCCCAUAUUGUGAGGCAA
This 2146-nucleotide unclassified non-coding RNA is filed under the name Hevea brasiliensis (rubber tree). The record is from RNAcentral. Lineage: Eukaryota; Viridiplantae; Streptophyta; Magnoliopsida; Malpighiales; Euphorbiaceae.